This is a non-coding RNA of Saccharata proteae CBS 121410, 96 nucleotides long. NCBI's taxonomy places the organism in Eukaryota, Fungi, Ascomycota, Dothideomycetes, Botryosphaeriales, Saccharataceae. The record is from the annotation of a GenBank genome assembly.
GGUGCUGUAGUGUAGUGGUAUCACGUCACGUUGUGGCUGGAGCAUAGCUUCAUCAACAAUACCGUGCCGACCUGGGUUCGAUUCCCAGCAGCGCCA